RNAcentral lists this ribosomal RNA (452 nucleotides) under uncultured bacterium. Its description in RNAcentral is "partial 16S ribosomal RNA". It matches the Rfam family "Bacterial small subunit ribosomal RNA", at positions 28 to 507 of the family's 1533-position model. The record is from RNAcentral.
GAUGAGCGCUGGUGGCGUGCCUAACACAUGCAAGUCGAGCGAUUCUCUUCGGAGAAGAGCGGCGGACGGGUGAGUAACGCGUGGGUAACCUGCCCUGUACACACGGAUAACAUACCGAAAGGUAUGCUAAUACGAGAUAACAUGCUUUUAUCGCAUGGUAGAAGUAUCAAAGCUUUUGCGGUACAGGAUGGACCCGCGUCUGAUUAGCUAGUUGGUGAGGUAACGGCUCACCAAGGCGACGAUCAGUAGCCGACCUGAGAGGGUGAUCGGCCACAUUGGAACUGAGACACGGUCCAAACUCCUACGGGAGGCAGCAGUGGGGAAUAUUGCACAAUGGGCGAAAGCCUGAUGCAGCAACGCCGCGUGAGCGAUGAAGGCCUUCGGGUCGUAAAGCUCUGUCCUCAAGGAAGAUAAUGACGGUACUUGAGGAGGAAGCCCCGGCUAACUACGUG